Long non-coding RNA from Zootermopsis nevadensis, 2104 nucleotides. RefSeq lists it as uncharacterized. Lineage: Eukaryota; Metazoa; Arthropoda; Insecta; Blattodea; Termopsidae. The record is from RefSeq and is a predicted model, not a curated record.
GAGAGUACGUAGGAAAAAGGACACAUUUAUGAGGUAGUGCCACACAUUUUAUUUCUGGAGGAAGAAAAUAGCAUCUUGUUAGAAGUUUCCCAGGAAAUGCCCAGUCGUCUUUCUGGUAAAUAUACAAUGAGAGCGAAGACAUUAAAGUGGCCUUUAUCAUCAAGAGCUAAGUCCUGAAACAAUGUUUGUGUGUUUCGUACCAAGAAUAGUUCGACCUUGAGUCAUAAGCAUCAGAAUAAGAUGCAAUAGGAAGAUGACUGGCUUCUAAUCAAUCCACACGACACAAAUUGCUGACUAACGGAAAGAAGCCCAGAACCUCAGACCCGGUUAAAAUACGGAACACAGGAGUGAGAAAUGCCACACACACUUACGUAAAAAAUGGUUUAGGCCACACAGCUUAUUCCGGAAUAAACUUUUUCACGCUAUUUAAGCUACACAAUUCUAAUCUCAUUAUCGUGUUCCUCUUUCUGCUUUACGAAAAUUCAAAAUUUACGCUUAUAAAAAUCAUUUCGAAGUUUCUUGUAGUAAAAGUGAAGGGGUAUUACAUAACAGAGUGAGAAGAUUUUAAGAAAAAGACAGAUGUGCAGUCAGCCAUUUGAAAUCGUUUCUCUUUACCCAGCAUGCCUAGCUGACACAAGAUCCAAGAUGGCGGGACCCCGGCGUUUGUCAAGCUCCAGUGAGCAGACAGCUGGGCGGAGCCAGAGAUACAGUGAAAAACUGCUCUGCUUUUCAACUGUUUUCAGCCCCCAAAAAACAACUUCGGUGUGGUCUACAAGUUGUAUUAAAUCUGAAAUACGUUUUCGAAAGUGAACACAUACUUUCAAGAAGUUCAUUAUUGAUUUUGUUUUAUUUUUGACCUGUGAAUCUUCGUUAUGAGUUUAAUUCCUGUCUUUCAUAUAAUGGUUGGUAGUACUACAGAAGGGGGGAUGUCGCCAUAUUGGAGCAGCCUCUCCCUCCCAAAGCCAACCUCCAAGACCAGUGAUGGAGCCACGAAACCAACAAGAAGGCUGAAAACAAACAAUUUAUUCCAGUCGCUUUAUUUUCAAUAUUAUUGUAUUUAAUUCCAAAUAAUAACGUUGUUUCAAUAAAUAUUCCUGAACGAAUACGUGUUUGGAUGAUCGCCAUCAUGGAAUUGUAUUUCUUCAGAAUGCGAUCAAACAGGCGACCGACAGAAAGAUGCCCAUCUCCCAAAUAAUAAAAUUUGAAAUGACCAAAAUUAAAUAAUAUUAGGGGAAAUGUUUAUAUUUCUGUAGAUAAAGUGUUCUGUGGUUAAUUAAAUUGAUGGGGUAUAGUUUACAAUGUUAGGAAAGUACGAACAAUUAAAUGCACGGAAAAUUUGAGUUUUCUUUCGCGUGGUAAAUCUGGCUGGUAAUAAUAUACCGACAAUGAAAGCAGUGCUAUUCGAUACUGAAUUAUAAUAAAGUAGUAAAUUAAUUAUGAGACGAGUAACACACGUUGAAAAUCUUGCGCAAUUUAUACGUCUAACUUGUUAGGUAACUCCAAAUAUAACAGGCAGAAAGAAAAUCUGACGAUUGCAACUUAACACCGAAUCAUUCCAUACGAGGAACUGAAUUUCUAAUUUUCAUAUUACAGUCAAUUUAGUGACUGAAAAUGUUCAGUCCUCUACAUAUUGGAAAGUUUGUACAUGUGACAAGAUGGACAGUCAGAUUUACUUCAUUAAUAUGGUAUGUUUCCUUUCAUGCAUGGUAAAUAGGUGUGUUAUGUAUCCUAGCUAAUUAAAUUAAAAUUCACUCUCCACCCUUGAAGAGGGAUGAUUAAAUUAAGUUUAGUUCAUUACGUAGACUAGUAUUGUCAUUAUUAGCAGUUUCUUUCUGGGUGUUUUCAGCACUGGAAUUGUUAAUAUGCUUAGUCAGACACGCCCUUGACUGAUUUGUAAUUAUUCCCUUUGUGUUUCGUCGACACAUUACAAAAUUAAAGACAAGCAAAAGGCGUACAAGACUUCAAGAAUAAUUACGGAAUAUAGAUUGCUAUAAUCCUUUAAAACACAGCAGGCCUACCUACCACAUACUUUAACAUUUAAUAAUUGCGUUUAUGGAUUCCGUAUAAUUUUCAGAAUAAAGAGCGAUGAUUUUUCCAAACACCA